GGGGCAAUAGCUCAGAUGGAAGAGCGCAGCGUUCGCAACGCUGAGGUCGGGGGUUCGAUCCCCCCUUGCUCCACCA
RNAcentral lists this transfer RNA (76 nucleotides) under Acidobacteriota bacterium. RNAcentral's name for it is "Acidobacteria bacterium (freshwater sediment metagenome) tRNA-Ala". It matches the Rfam family "tRNA". From Rfam's summary of the family: Transfer RNA (tRNA) molecules are approximately 80 nucleotides in length. Their secondary structure includes four short double-helical elements and three loops (D, anti-codon, and T loops). The record is from RNAcentral. Lineage: Bacteria; Pseudomonadati; Acidobacteriota.